UUUUAUUCGGUAUUUGGUAUGGGGGAUGCGUCUGAUUAGCUUGUUUGGCGGGUAAAGGCCCACCAAGGCAACGAUCAGUAGGGGUUCUGAGAGGAAGGUCCCCCACAUUGGAACUGAGACACGGUCCAAACUCCUACGGGAGGCAGCAGUGAGGAAUAUUGGUCAAUGGGCGAGAGCCUGAACCAGCCAAGUAGCGUGCAGGAUGACGGCCCUAUGGGUUGUAAACUGCUUUUAUAUGGGAAUAAAGUGAGGGACGUGUCCCUUAUUGCAUGUACCAUACGAAUAAGGACCGGCUAAUUCCGUGCCAGCAGCCGCGGUAAU
This 321-nucleotide ribosomal RNA is filed under the name uncultured Prevotella sp. RNAcentral's name for it is "bacterial SSU rRNA". It matches the Rfam family "Bacterial small subunit ribosomal RNA", at positions 207 to 524 of the family's 1533-position model. The record is from RNAcentral. Lineage: Bacteria; Pseudomonadati; Bacteroidota; Bacteroidia; Bacteroidales; Prevotellaceae.